UACAUAGGGGGCAAGCGUUAUCCGGAAUUAUUGGGUGUAAAGGGUGCGUAGACGGGAGAGCAAGUUAGUUGUGAAACCCCUCGGCUUAACUGAGGACCUGCAACUAAAACUACUCAUCUUGAGUACUGGAGAGGAAAGUGGAAUUCCUAGUGUAGCGGUGAAAUGCGUAGAUAUUAGGAGGAACACCAGUGGCGAAGGCGACUUUCUGGACAGAAACUGACGUUGAGGCACGAAAGUGUGGGGAGCAAACA
This 251-nucleotide ribosomal RNA is filed under the name uncultured bacterium. Its description in RNAcentral is "partial 16S ribosomal RNA". It matches the Rfam family "Bacterial small subunit ribosomal RNA", at positions 524 to 774 of the family's 1533-position model. The record is from RNAcentral.